UUUUUUUUUUGAGACAGGGUCUUGCUCUGUCAUCCCGGCUGGAGUGCAGUGGUGCGAUCUCAGCUCACUGCAAACUCUGCCUCCAAGAUGCAAAUGAUUCUCGUGCCUCAGCCUCCCAAGUAGCUGGAAUUACAGGUGUGCACUACCAUGCCCAGCUGUUUUUUGUAGAGAUGGGGUUUCACCAUGGUCUCUACUAAACUCUGUCUCUACUAAAAAUACAAAAAUUACCCAGGCGUGGUGGCACAUGCCUGUAGUCCCAGCUACUCAAGAAGCUGAGGCAGGAGAAUCACUCGAACCUGGGAGGUGGAGGUUGCAGUGACCCAAAAUCAUGCACUCUAGCCUGGGGUCUCGCUUUUGCCCAGGUUAGAGUGCAGUGGCACAAUCAUAGUGGCUCACUGCAGCCUCAAACUCCUGGGCUGAAGGGAAUCCUCCCACCUCAGCCUCCCAAGUAGCUAGGACUAUAGGCAUGUGCCAUCAUGGCGAGUUAAUUUUUUGUGUGUUUUUAUUUUCUCGAGACAGAGUCUUGCUCUGUUGCUCAGGCUGGACUGCAAUGGCGUGAUCUUGGCUCACCGCAACCUCCACCUCCUGGGUUCAAGCGAUUCUCCUGCCUCAGCCUCCCGAGUUGCUGGGAUUACAGGUGCUGCCAUGGCCACGACUGUUGUUACACUCGAGCUGAGGAGGCCGGCUGCAGCCCCAAGACAGAGCGCUACUCCUGGCAGUGCGUCAAUCAGUGUCCUGUGCGGGCAGAAACAGCUGGGCUUAUAAACAGGCAUAGUCCUUUUGAAGGAUGCGGCUGAUCCUACAACAACACACUUUCCUAAGGAUGACAACAACUCACCCCACCCCUAGAAUAGCUGGUAUGAACCGAGUUUCCACACAGUCUAGCUGGCAAUGGGGUCAGGAGACCUUUUGCUGCUUCACAUCUUUUGGUCACUGGGUCUAAACAUUGUACAGAGGUUAAAAACAACACUCCAAUGGGCGUUUCCCAAGACGGUGGGGUUCAGUUUCUGAACUCACUUGUAG
This is a long non-coding RNA of Gorilla gorilla gorilla (western lowland gorilla), 1023 nucleotides long. RefSeq lists it as uncharacterized. The record is from RefSeq and is a predicted model, not a curated record. The transcript has 4 exons. Lineage: Eukaryota; Metazoa; Chordata; Mammalia; Primates; Hominidae.